GCAUCCUAGGAGAGACAGGCUGGAAACCAAGUGGAAAAGAAAAAAGUAAAGAACCCAAAGACCCUGACCAGCUUUACAGCACGCUCAAGGGCAUCCUCCAGCAGGUGAAGAGCCAUCAAAGCGCUUGGCCCUUCAUGGAACCUGUGAAGAGAACAGAAGCUCCGGGAUAUUAUGAAGUUAUACGGUUUCCCAUGG
This is a long non-coding RNA of Dipodomys spectabilis (banner-tailed kangaroo rat), 195 nucleotides long. RefSeq lists it as uncharacterized. NCBI's taxonomy places the organism in Eukaryota, Metazoa, Chordata, Mammalia, Rodentia, Heteromyidae. The record is from RefSeq and is a predicted model, not a curated record. The transcript is spliced from 3 exons.